GGUUCUGUGGCAGAGGCGGUCUAUGCAGAGGACUGAAAAUCCCCAGAAGGUGGUUCAAUUCCACCCGGAACCG
RNAcentral lists this transfer RNA (73 nucleotides) under Clostridiales bacterium. RNAcentral's name for it is "tRNA-Phe". It matches the Rfam family "tRNA". From Rfam's summary of the family: Transfer RNA (tRNA) molecules are approximately 80 nucleotides in length. Their secondary structure includes four short double-helical elements and three loops (D, anti-codon, and T loops). Further hydrogen bonds mediate the characteristic L-shaped molecular structure. tRNAs have two regions of fundamental functional importance: the anti-codon, which is responsible for specific mRNA codon recognition, and the 3' end, to which the tRNAs corresponding amino acid is attached (by aminoacyl-tRNA synthetases). tRNAs cope with the degeneracy of the genetic code in two manners: having more than one tRNA (with a specific anti-codon) for a particular amino acid; and 'wobble' base-pairing, i.e. permitting non-standard base-pairing at the 3rd anti-codon position. The record is from RNAcentral. Lineage: Bacteria; Bacillati; Bacillota; Clostridia; Eubacteriales.